CCCUUAGAUGUUCUGGGCCGCACGCGCGCUACACUGAUGCAUUCAACGAGUCUAAAACCUGGUCUGAUAGGGCUGGGUAAUCUUUUGAAAGUGCAUCGUGAUUGGGAUAGAUGAUUGCAAUUCUUCAUCUUCAACGAGGAAUGCCUAGUAAACGCAAGUCAUCAGCUUGCAUCGAUUACGUCCCUGCCCUUUGUACACACCGCCCGUCGCUCCUACCGAUUGGAUGAUCCGGUGAGCUAUUCGGACCUUCGCUUCGUCGAUUUUCGGCUUUGUGAGGGAAAGUCUCGCGAACCUUAUCAUCUAGAGGAAGGAGAAGUCGUAACA
RNAcentral lists this ribosomal RNA (324 nucleotides) under uncultured eukaryote. Its description in RNAcentral is "partial 18S ribosomal RNA". It matches the Rfam family "Eukaryotic small subunit ribosomal RNA", at positions 1470 to 1796 of the family's 1831-position model. The record is from RNAcentral.